AACGAACGCUGGCGGCAGGCUUAACACAUGCAAGUCGAACGCCCCGCAAGGGGAGUGGCAGACGGGUGAGUAACGCGUGGGAACGUACCUUUCGCUUCGGAAUAUUCCCGGGAAACUGGGAGCAAUGCCGAAUACGCCGUAUUGGGAAAGAUUUAUCGGCGAAAGAUCGGCCCGCGUUAGAUUAGGUAGUUGGCGGUGUAAUGGACCACCAAGCCUACGAUCUAUAGCUGGUCUGAGAGGAUGAUCAGCCACACUGGGACUGAGACACGGCCCAGACUCCUACGGGAGGCAGCAGUGGGGAAUCUUGGACAAUGGGCGCAAGCCUGAUCCAGCCAUGCCGCGUGAGUGAAGAAGGCCUUAGGGUUGUAAAACUCUUUCGCCGGAGAAGAUAAUGACGGUAUCCGGAGAAGAAGCCCCGGCUAACUUCGUG
Molecule: ribosomal RNA, 430 nt
Filed under: uncultured bacterium
Lineage: Bacteria
Description: bacterial SSU rRNA
Rfam family: Bacterial small subunit ribosomal RNA
Source: RNAcentral